GUUUCUGUAGUGUAGUGGUUAUCACGUUUGCCUAACAUGCAAAAGGGCCUCAGCCCAAAACCGGGCAGAAACA
This 73-nucleotide transfer RNA is filed under the name Chrysemys picta bellii (western painted turtle). RNAcentral describes it as "tRNA-Val (AAC) (tRNA-Val-AAC-17-1)". It matches the Rfam family "tRNA". From Rfam's summary of the family: Transfer RNA (tRNA) molecules are approximately 80 nucleotides in length. Their secondary structure includes four short double-helical elements and three loops (D, anti-codon, and T loops). Lineage: Eukaryota; Metazoa; Chordata; Testudines; Emydidae. The record is from Rfam by way of RNAcentral.